UACGUAGGGGGCUAGCGUUGUCCGGAAUCAUUGGGCGUAAAGCGCGUGUAGGCGGUCCGGUAAGUCCGCUGUGAAAGUCGAGGGCUCAACCCUCGAAUGCCGGUGGAUACUGUCGGGCUAGAGUACGGAAGAGGCGAGUGGAAUUCCUGGUGUAGCGGUGAAAUGCGCGGAUAUCAGGAGGAACACCAAUUGCGAAGGCAGCUCGCUGGGACGUUACUGACGCUGAGACGCGAAAGCGUGGGGAGCAAACAGG
RNAcentral lists this ribosomal RNA (253 nucleotides) under uncultured bacterium. Its description in RNAcentral is "partial 16S ribosomal RNA". It matches the Rfam family "Bacterial small subunit ribosomal RNA", at positions 524 to 776 of the family's 1533-position model. The record is from RNAcentral.